GCGGGUAUAGUAUAUCGGUAUUACACUGCCUUGCCAAGGCAGAUAGACGGGUUCGACUCCCGUUACCCGCUCCA
RNAcentral lists this transfer RNA (74 nucleotides) under Candidatus Beckwithbacteria bacterium. RNAcentral's name for it is "tRNA-Gly". It matches the Rfam family "tRNA". Rfam says of the family: Transfer RNA (tRNA) molecules are approximately 80 nucleotides in length. Lineage: Bacteria; Candidatus Beckwithiibacteriota. The record is from RNAcentral.